CCAGACUCCUACGGGAGGCAGCAGUGGGGAAUAUUGCACAAUGGGGGAAACCCUGAUGCAGCGACGCCGCGUGAGCGAUGAAGUAUUUCGGUAUGUAAAGCUCUAUCAGCAGGGAAGAAAAUGACGGUACCUGACUAAGAAGCCCCGGCUAACUACGUGCCAGCAGCCGCGGUAAUACGUAGGGGGCAAGCGUUAUCCGGAUUUACUGGGUGUAAAGGGAGCGUAGACGGUCCUGCAAGCCAGAUGUGAAAGCCCGGGGCGCAACCCCGGGACUGCAUUUGGAACUGUAAGGCUAGAGUGUCGGAGAGGCGGGCGGAAUUCCUAGUGUAGCGGUGAAAUGCGUAGAUAUUAGGAGGAACACCAGUGGCGAAGGCGGCCUACUGGACGGUGACUGACGCUGAGGCUCGAAAGCGUGGGGAGCAAACAGGAUUAGAUACCCCAGUACAU
This 447-nucleotide ribosomal RNA is filed under the name uncultured bacterium. Its description in RNAcentral is "bacterial SSU rRNA". It matches the Rfam family "Bacterial small subunit ribosomal RNA", at positions 331 to 795 of the family's 1533-position model. The record is from RNAcentral.